This 906-nucleotide ribosomal RNA is filed under the name uncultured Bacteroidota bacterium. RNAcentral's name for it is "bacterial SSU rRNA". It matches the Rfam family "Bacterial small subunit ribosomal RNA", at positions 8 to 912 of the family's 1533-position model. The record is from RNAcentral. Lineage: Bacteria; Pseudomonadati; Bacteroidota.
AGGGUUUGAUCAUGGCUCAGGAUGAACGCUAGCGGCAGGCUUAACACAUGCAAGUCGAACGGUAACAUGAGUGCUUGCACUUGAUGACGAGUGGCGCACGGGUGCGUAACGCGUAUGCAACUUACCCCAAACUGGAGAAUAGCCUUUAGAAAUGAAGAAUAAUACUCCAUAGUAUUCAGAAGAGGCAUCUCUUUUGUCUUAAAGCUUCGGCGGUUUGGGAUAGGCAUGCGUUCUAUUAGUUAGUUGGUGAGGUAAUGGCUCACCAAGACCACGAUAGAUAGGGGGCCUGAGAGGGUUAUCCCCCACACUGGUACUGAGACACGGACCAGACUCCUACGGGAGGCAGCAGUGAGGAAUAUUGCACAAUGGACGAAAGUCUGAUGCAGCCAUGCCGCGUGCAGGAUGAAUGCCCUAUGGGUUGUAAACUGCUUUUAUAUAGGAAGAAACUUUUCUACGUGUAGAGAACUGACGGUACUAUAAGAAUAAGGACCGGCUAACUCCGUGCCAGCAGCCGCGGUAAUACGGAGGGUCCAAGCGUUAUCCGGAUUUAUUGGGUUUAAAGGGUCCGUAGGCGGGAAGAUAAGUCAGUGGUGAAAGCCUACAGCUCAACUGUAGAACUGCCAUUGAAACUGUUUUUCUUGAAUUUAGAUGAAGUGGGCGGAAUAUAUCAUGUAGCGGUGAAAUGCAUAGAUAUGAUAUAGAACACCGAUUGCGAAGGCAGCUCACUAAACUAACAUUGACGCUGAGGGACGAAAGUGUGGGGAGCGAACAGGAUUAGAUACCCUGGUAGUCCACACCGUAAACGAUGAUUACUCGAUGCUAGCGAUAUACAGUUAGUGUCUAAGCGAAAGCGAUAAGUAAUCCACCUGGGGAGUACGGUCGCAAGAUUGAAACUCAAAGGGAUUU